UUCACGGAGAGUUUGAUCCUGGCUCAGGACGAACGCUGGCGGCGUGCUUAACACAUGCAAGUCGAACGAUGAACCACUUCGGUGGGGAU
This 89-nucleotide ribosomal RNA is filed under the name Streptomyces scabiei. Its description in RNAcentral is "partial 16S ribosomal RNA". It matches the Rfam family "Bacterial small subunit ribosomal RNA", at positions 1 to 92 of the family's 1533-position model. The record is from RNAcentral. Lineage: Bacteria; Bacillati; Actinomycetota; Actinomycetes; Kitasatosporales; Streptomycetaceae. RNAcentral also lists the same sequence under 1 other name.